UUGAACGCUGGCGGCAGGCUUAACACAUGCAAGUCGAACGGUAACAGAACUAGCUUGCUAGUUGCUGACGAGUGGCGGACGGGUGAGUAACGCGUAGGAAUCUACCAAGUAGUGGGGGACAACAGUUGGAAACGACUGCUAAUACCGCAUAAUCCCUGAGGGGCAAAGGAGGGGAUCUGUUUACAGACCUUUCGCUAUUUGAUGAGCCUGCGUGAGAUUAGCUAGUUGGUGAGGUAAUGGCUCACCAAGGCGACGAUCUCUAGCUGGUCUGAGAGGAUGACCAGCCACACUGGAACUGAGACACGGUCCAGACUCCUGCGGGAGGCAGCAGUGGGGAAUAUUGCACAAUGGAGGAAACUCUGAUGCAGCCAUGCCGCGUGUGUGAAGAAGGCUUUCGGGUUGUAAAGCACUUUCAGUGGGGAGGAAAGGGUGUAUGUUAAUAGCAUGCAUCUGUGACGUUACCCACAGAAGAAGCACCGGCUAACUCCGUGCCAGCAGCCGCGGUAAUACGGAGGGUGCGAGCGUUAAUCGGAAUUACUGGGCGUAAAGCGCGCGUAGGUGGUUAAUUAAGUCAGAUGUGAAAGCCCAGGGCUCAACCUUGGAACUGCAUUUGAAACUGGUUAACUAGAGUUUUGUAGAGGGUGGUAGAAUUUCAGGUGUAGCGGUGAAAUGCGUAGAGAUCUGAAGGAAUACCAGUGGCGAAGGCGGCCACCUGGACAAAGACUGACACUGAGGCGCGAAGGCGUGGGGAGCAAACGGGAUUAGAUACCCCGGUAGUCCACGCAGUAAACGAUGUCUAUUAGAAGUUUGUGGCUAUAUGCCGUGGGUUUCAAAGCUAACGCAUUAAAUAGACCGCCUGGGGAGUACGGCCGCAAGGUUAAAACUCAAAUGAAUUGACGGGGGCCCGCACAAGCGGUGGAGCAUGUGGUUUAAUUCGAUGCAACGCGAAGAACCUUACCAUCCCUUGACAUCCAGAGAAUCACCUAGAGAUAGAUGAGUGCCUUCGGGAACUCUGAGACAGGUGCUGCAUGGCUGUCGUCAGCUCGUGUUGUGAAAUGUUGGGUUAAGUCCCGCAACGAGCGCAACCCUUAUCCUUACUUGCCAGCGGGUUAUGCCGGGAACUUUAGGGAGACUGCCGGUGAUAAACCGGAGGAAGGUGGGGACGACGUCAAGUCAUCAUGGCCCUUACGGGAUGGGCUACACACGUGCUACAAUGGCAGAUACAAAGGGUUGCUAACCUGCGAGGGUAUGCGAAUCUCAUAAAGUCUGUCGUAGUCCGGAUCGGAGUCUGCAACUCGACUCCGUGAAGUCGGAAUCGCUAGUAAUCGUGGAUCAGAAUGCCACGGUGAAUACGUUCCCGGGUCUUGUACUCACCGC
This 1377-nucleotide ribosomal RNA is filed under the name uncultured marine bacterium. Its description in RNAcentral is "bacterial SSU rRNA". It matches the Rfam family "Bacterial small subunit ribosomal RNA", at positions 29 to 1393 of the family's 1533-position model. The record is from RNAcentral.